UCAUAGAANGUACAUUUUGCCUUUAAAAAAGCAAUCAAAUACAACUUUCAACAACGGAUCUCUUGGCUCUCGCAUCGAUGAAGAACGCAGCGAAAUGCGAUAAGUAAUGUGAAUUGCAGAUUUUCAGUGAAUCAUCGAAUCUUUGAACGCACCUUGCGCUCCUUGGUAUUCCGAGGAGCAUGCCUGUUUGAGUGUCAUUAAAUCCUCAACCCCGUCCGUCGGUCGGGGCUUGGACUUUGGAGCGUGCUGGCGAAGGUCGGCUCCUCUUUAAAUGCAUCAGCGGAGAAAAACAAACCUUUUUUCCCCCUUCAGCGUGAUAACUGUGUUGCGCUGUGGUCGCGAAAGGGUCCGCUCAUAAUUGUCCUCGGACAAACACCGAAUCUGUUUUGACCUCAGAUCAGGUAGGACUACCCGCUGAACUUAAGCAUAUCAAUAANCGGAGGAAAAGAANCUAACAAGGAUUCCCCUAGUAACUGNNAGUGAAGCGGGAAAAAGCUCAAAUUUAAAAAUCUGGCGGUCCUCUGGCCGUCCG
RNAcentral lists this ribosomal RNA (532 nucleotides) under uncultured Amphinema. RNAcentral describes it as "eukaryotic LSU rRNA". The stretch from base 43 to 197 matches the Rfam family "5.8S ribosomal RNA". Lineage: Eukaryota; Fungi; Basidiomycota; Agaricomycetes; Atheliales; Atheliaceae. The record is from RNAcentral.